Molecule: unclassified non-coding RNA, 275 nt
Filed under: Hevea brasiliensis (rubber tree)
Lineage: Eukaryota; Viridiplantae; Streptophyta; Magnoliopsida; Malpighiales; Euphorbiaceae
Source: RNAcentral
AUGAUUGACUUUCCAUAACAGAAAUUAUAUAUAUAUAGCUUCAAAAUUCCCCACAAAGCAUUAAGUCCAGUAUCAUUCAUUAGAUUACAUUUAAAAAAAGUUAUAAAAAUAAUACAGCAUGAUUUAAAAAAAUUUCCCACUCAGAACAUUCAAUUAACCUGUUUCCUGAAAGUAGCAGUGAGGGCCAGAAAACAGCAUCAUAGAGGGGCCAUAAGACCUUUGAGUUCCUUCUUUCAUCAGUACAAGGAUCUAGCCUCAGCACUGAAUGUAAAGCA